GAAAUGCGAUAAGUAAUGUGAAUUGCAGAAUUCAGUGAAUCAUCGAAUCUUUGAACGCACCUUGCGCUCCUUGGUAUUCCGAGGAGCAUGCCUGUUUGAGUGUCAUGGAAUUCUCAACUCUAUUUGCUUUUGUGAAUAGAGCUUGGAUUUGGAGGUUUAUUGCUGGUACCUGUGAUCGGCUCCUCUUGAAUGCAUUAGCUCGAACCUUUGCGGAUCAGCUAUCGGUGUGAUAAUUGUCUACGCCGUUGCAGUGAAGCAUAUCAAUGGGCUCGGCUUCCAAUCGUCCUUUACUGGACAAUGACUUUGACCUUUGACCUCAAAUCAGGUAGGAUUACCCGCUGAACUUAAGC
This 350-nucleotide unclassified non-coding RNA is filed under the name plant metagenome. RNAcentral describes it as "partial contains 5.8S ribosomal RNA, internal transcribed spacer 2, and large subunit ribosomal RNA". The stretch from base 1 to 105 matches the Rfam family "5.8S ribosomal RNA", at positions 50 to 154 of the family's 154-position model. The record is from RNAcentral.